RNAcentral lists this unclassified non-coding RNA (21 nucleotides) under Chlamydomonas reinhardtii. RNAcentral's name for it is "small RNA Cre_2398". Lineage: Eukaryota; Viridiplantae; Chlorophyta; Chlorophyceae; Chlamydomonadales; Chlamydomonadaceae. The record is from RNAcentral.
UAUGGGCACGAAACCAAGGGU